GCGUAUGCAAUCUGCCUUUAACUGAGGGAUAGCCCAGAGAAAUUUGGAUUAAUACCUCAUAACAUUGUAUUUUGACCUCAUUAUACAAUUAAAACUUCGGUGGUUAAAGAUGAGCAUGCGUCCUAUUAGCUUGUUGGUAAGGUAACGGCUUACCAAGGCAACGAUAGGUAGGGGGCCUGAAAGGGUGAUCCCCCACACUGGUACUGAGACACGGACCAGACUCCUACGGGAGGCAGCAGUGAGGAAUAUUGCGCAAUGGAGGAAACUCUGACGCAGCCAUGCCGCGUGCAGGAAGACGGC
RNAcentral lists this ribosomal RNA (300 nucleotides) under uncultured Flavobacteriales bacterium. RNAcentral's name for it is "bacterial SSU rRNA". It matches the Rfam family "Bacterial small subunit ribosomal RNA", at positions 115 to 415 of the family's 1533-position model. Lineage: Bacteria; Pseudomonadati; Bacteroidota; Flavobacteriia; Flavobacteriales. The record is from RNAcentral.